AUAGCGUCGCUUCGCAGUUCGCACGACGCACGUUGUUGUUUGUUCCUUUGCAAAGUAUAAAUCGAGAAGUAUUUUGAAUGUAUAUUAAAUUUUACUGGACAUUAUGAUACAAGAUUGCCUGGAGAAGAUCGAGGAAAUUGUUUUAAAAGUGACUGGGAAUCUCAGUCAUCUCAGAGAUGGUGGAUUAACAAGUGCCAAGUGGUGAUGUUUAUAAGUCUAAGUCAUCUAAGUCUGUAAUGAACGACAGGAAAGUAUGGUGCCAAGGUCUUUCAUUUGAUGAAAAAUAUCAACUUGAUAUUAGUUCAGUGAAACAAGAAAAGAAGGCAUUUGACUUGGUUUAAGGAAAUAAGGAACAUGGAUUAAUUGAGGUAGUACUAGUGUGCGAGAAACUCAGUGGAUGAGUGGAAAGUCUCCUCUGUUAAUGGUUAAUUGGAUUCACAGUGUUGCAGAACUUAAUUUUCCAGGACAAAAAUACUCCAGGUGAUCUUAUAAAUAUGCUCAUAUUUGGGAGGACGUAUACCAACUUUACAAACAACUAGUCAGUAAUCAAAGAGGAACAUUGCUCAGGAGUUAAUUACUUUAGCUUAUGUGUUAAUAACAAUAAUUGAAGACAUGCAGUGAGUUUGCAUAGUUCUAGAUGCACUUGUCUUCUUUCAUAAAUAUUUUUAUUCAAUUACCUCUGGGUUCAUUAUACAGGGGCUUAAUUUCAAUAAUUUGAGUUGUUUCAGCUAGUUUCCUAAACUUGCC
This is a long non-coding RNA of Dendronephthya gigantea, 747 nucleotides long. RefSeq lists it as uncharacterized. NCBI's taxonomy places the organism in Eukaryota, Metazoa, Cnidaria, Anthozoa, Malacalcyonacea, Nephtheidae. The transcript has 4 exons. The record is from RefSeq and is a predicted model, not a curated record.